ACGUAGGUGGCGAGCGUUGUCCGGAAUUAUUGGGCGUAAAGAGCGCGUAGGCGGGACAAUAAGUCUGUCUUAAAAGAGCGGGGCUCAACCCCGUUAUGGGAUAGAAACUGAUGUUCUUGAGUACCGGAGAGGAAAGUGGAAUUCCCAGUGUAGCGGUGAAAUGCGUAGAUAUUGGGAGGAACACCAGUGGCGAAGGCGACUUUCUGGACGGUGUCUGACGCUGAGGCGCGAAAGCCAGGGAAGUGAACGG
Molecule: ribosomal RNA, 250 nt
Filed under: uncultured prokaryote
Description: partial 16S rRNA
Rfam family: Bacterial small subunit ribosomal RNA
Source: RNAcentral